GCGCCCUUCGUCUAUCGGUUAGGACAACAGAUUCUCAUUCUGUAAAGGCGGUUUCGACUACCGCAGGGCGCACCA
This 75-nucleotide transfer RNA is filed under the name Rhizobium leguminosarum. RNAcentral describes it as "tRNA-Glu". It matches the Rfam family "tRNA". From Rfam's summary of the family: Transfer RNA (tRNA) molecules are approximately 80 nucleotides in length. Their secondary structure includes four short double-helical elements and three loops (D, anti-codon, and T loops). RNAcentral also lists the same sequence under 4 other names. The record is from RNAcentral. Lineage: Bacteria; Pseudomonadati; Pseudomonadota; Alphaproteobacteria; Hyphomicrobiales; Rhizobiaceae.